UACAGAGGUCUCAAGCGUUGUUCGGAUUCAUUGGGCGUAAAGGGUGCGUAGGCGGCGCGGCAAGUCAGUCGUGAAAUCUCUCGGCUCAACCGAGAAACGUCGGCUGAUACUGCCGUUCUUGAGGGAUGCAGAGGAGACUGGAAUUCCCGGUGUAGCGGUGAAAUGUGUAGAGAUCGGGAGGAACACCGGUGGCGAAGGCGGGUCUCUGGGCAUUUCCUGACGCUGAGGCGCGAAAGCGUGGGGAGCAAACGGG
Molecule: ribosomal RNA, 253 nt
Filed under: uncultured bacterium
Lineage: Bacteria
Description: partial 16S ribosomal RNA
Rfam family: Bacterial small subunit ribosomal RNA
Source: RNAcentral